GCCUCGAUGGCGGAAUUGGUAGACGCAGCGGAUUCAAAAUCCGCCGUCCUUCACCGGACAUGUGGGUUCGAGUCCCACUCGAGGUA
This 86-nucleotide transfer RNA is filed under the name Varibaculum cambriense. RNAcentral describes it as "tRNA-Leu". It matches the Rfam family "tRNA". From Rfam's summary of the family: Transfer RNA (tRNA) molecules are approximately 80 nucleotides in length. Their secondary structure includes four short double-helical elements and three loops (D, anti-codon, and T loops). Further hydrogen bonds mediate the characteristic L-shaped molecular structure. tRNAs have two regions of fundamental functional importance: the anti-codon, which is responsible for specific mRNA codon recognition, and the 3' end, to which the tRNAs corresponding amino acid is attached (by aminoacyl-tRNA synthetases). tRNAs cope with the degeneracy of the genetic code in two manners: having more than one tRNA (with a specific anti-codon) for a particular amino acid; and 'wobble' base-pairing, i.e. permitting non-standard base-pairing at the 3rd anti-codon position. The record is from RNAcentral. Lineage: Bacteria; Bacillati; Actinomycetota; Actinomycetes; Actinomycetales; Actinomycetaceae. RNAcentral also lists the same sequence under 7 other names.